CGCUGGCGGCGUGCUUAACACAUGCAAGUCGAACGGGGAUUAAGUGGAAAGGCUUCGGCCCGGAAGACUUAAUCGAGUGGCGGACGGGUGAGUAACGCGUGAGCAACCUGUCCCAGACAGGGGGAUAACACUUGGAAACAGGUGCUAAUACCGCAUAAGACCACGGGGUCACAUGGCUCUGGGGGUAAAAGGAGCAAUCCGGUUUGGGGUGGGCUCGCGUCCGAUUAGAUAGUUGGUGAGGUAACGGCCCACCAAGUCGACGAUCGGUAGCCGACCUGAGAGGGUGAUCGGCCACAUUGGAACUGAGAGACGGUCCAAACUCCUACGGGAGGCAGCAGUGGGGAAUAUUGGGCAAUGGGCGAAAGCCCUGACCCAGCAACGCCGCGUGAGUGAAGAAGGCCUUCGGGUUGUAAAGCUCUGUUAUAGGGGACGAAGGAAGUGACGGUACCCUAUAAGGAAGCCCCGGCUAACUACGUGCCAGCAGCGGC
Molecule: ribosomal RNA, 488 nt
Filed under: uncultured bacterium
Lineage: Bacteria
Description: bacterial SSU rRNA
Rfam family: Bacterial small subunit ribosomal RNA
Source: RNAcentral